This 508-nucleotide ribosomal RNA is filed under the name uncultured bacterium. RNAcentral's name for it is "bacterial SSU rRNA". It matches the Rfam family "Bacterial small subunit ribosomal RNA", at positions 8 to 526 of the family's 1533-position model. The record is from RNAcentral.
AGAGUUUGAUCAUGGCUCAGGACGAACGCUGGCGGCGCGCUUAACACAUGCAAGUCGAGCGAGAACCAGCCCUUCGGGGCUGGGGACAGCGGCGAACGGGUGAGUAACACGUGAGUAAUCCACCCUCGGCAUCGGGAUAGCCCGGGGAAACCCGGAUUAAUACCGAAUGGCCCAUUCGCUCCUCGGAGAUGAAUGGAAAAGGUAGCUUCGGCCUCUGGCCGGGGACGAGCUUGCGGCGGAUUAGCUUGUUGGUGGGGUAAAGGCCCACCAAGGCGACGAUCCGUAGCUGGUCUGAGAGGACGAUCAGCCACACUGGGACUGAGACACGGCCCAGACUCCUACGGGAGGCAGCAGUGGGGAAUCUUGCGCAAUGGGCGAAAGCCUGACGCAGCGACGCCGCGUGCGGGAAGAAGGCCUUCGGGUUGUAAACCACUGUCGAAGGGGAAGAUAAUGACGGUACCCUUGGAGGAAGCCCCGGCUAACUACGUGCCAGCCGCCGCGGUAAUAC